AGACGAACCGUGCGAACGUUGUUCGGAAUCACUGGGCUUAAAGGGCGCGUAGGCGGGCUGUCAAGUCUGUGGUGAAAUCUUCCGGCUCAACCGGAAAAGUGCCUCGGAUACUGGCGGCCUAGAGCGAGGUAGGGGCAUGUGGAACUUCCGGUGGAGCGGUGAAAUGCGUUGAUAUCGGAAGGAACGCCGGUGGCGAAAGCGACAUGCUGGAUCUCUUCUGACGCUGAGGCGCGAAAGCUAGGGGAGCGAACGGGAUUAGAAACCCCGGUAGUCC
Molecule: ribosomal RNA, 274 nt
Filed under: uncultured bacterium
Lineage: Bacteria
Description: partial 16S ribosomal RNA
Rfam family: Bacterial small subunit ribosomal RNA
Source: RNAcentral